GCCCGCUUGGCACAGUGGUAAUGCGUCUCACUCGUACUGCGCACGUGUGAAAUGAGAAGAUCACUGGUUCGAUUCCAGUAGUGGGCA
Non-coding RNA from Neophaeococcomyces mojaviensis, 87 nucleotides. The record is from the annotation of a GenBank genome assembly. NCBI's taxonomy places the organism in Eukaryota, Fungi, Ascomycota, Eurotiomycetes, Chaetothyriales.